This 237-nucleotide ribosomal RNA is filed under the name uncultured bacterium. Its description in RNAcentral is "partial 16S ribosomal RNA". It matches the Rfam family "Bacterial small subunit ribosomal RNA", at positions 118 to 347 of the family's 1533-position model. The record is from RNAcentral.
UGAGGAACAUGACUUUCGGCGGGGGAGUAGCCGGCCCAACGGCCGGGUAAUACCGCGUACGAUCCAAUGGAGACAUCUCCGCUGGGUGAAAGCAGCAAUGCACCGAAAGAGUGCCUCGCGGCCUAUCAGCUAGUUGGUGAGGUAACGGCUCACCAAGGCGACGACGGGUAGCUGGUCUGAGAGGAUGGCCAGCCACAGUUGGGACUGAGAUACCGGCCCAGACCUGUACCGGGGAGG